UUGGACCUGAUAUCAGGCAAGUCACCCGCUGAACUUAAGCAUAUUAAUAAGCGGAGGAAAAGAAACCAACCAGGAUUCCCCUAGUAACGGCGAGUGAAGCGGGAAGAGCUCAAGCUUAAAAUCUCUGUGCCAGUUUGGCAUGGCGAAUUGUAGUCUAUGGAGGCGAUGUCAGUGCGGCUAUGCGGGCUAAGUCCCUUGGAAGAGGGCAGCAUCGAGGGUGAUACUCCCGUAUGUGCCUGUGUAGCUGUGCGUACGACACGUUUUCUGAGAGUCGCGUUGUUUGGGACUGCAGCGCAAAGUAGGUGGUAAAUUCCAUCUAAAGCUAAAUAUUGGUGCGAGACCGAUAGCGAACAAGUACCGUGAGGGAAAGAUGAAAAGAACUUUGAAAAGAGAGUUAAAGAGUACCUGAAACUGCUGAAAGGGAACCGAGUCGUAUCUAGUGCUAUAAUCUGUGGCAUAUUCCAUUGCCGUGUGGAUGCGUGCAGUGUUUUGGAAGUGGUUUUGCUGCUCCUAAUGCUGUUGUGCGUUUGCCUGGUGGUGCUCUGUGUCAUAGUGAGACGUCAGAGUCAGUUCGUAUGCUGCGGGAAAUGGCCGUUGGGAAGGUAGGUCACUUCGGUGACUGUUUAUAGCCUGACGUGCUAGUCGUCGUGGUUGGGACUGAGGUGCCUUAAUGUGCUUUUGAGUGUGCGUGUUUCUCGUYYGGCUCGUYGUUGGGACAGCUUGCUGUGUCAGUGAUUGAGUUGGGCGAUUGAGAUGUGUAUUAUCUUAUUGCCGUUCGGACUUG
RNAcentral lists this ribosomal RNA (784 nucleotides) under Pythiogeton zeae. Its description in RNAcentral is "eukaryotic LSU rRNA". It matches the Rfam family "Eukaryotic large subunit ribosomal RNA", at positions 1 to 634 of the family's 3401-position model. The record is from RNAcentral. Lineage: Eukaryota; Oomycota; Peronosporomycetes; Pythiales; Pythiogetonaceae.